UGCGCAGGCGGUUAUGCAAGACAGAUGUGAAAUCCCCGGGCUCAACCUGGGAACUGCAUUUGUGACUGCAUGGCUAGAGUACGGUAGAGGGGGACGGAAUUCCGCGUGUAGCAGUGAAAUGCGUAGAUAUGCGGAGGAACACCGAUGGCGAAGGCAAUCCCCUGGACCUGUACUGACGCUCAUGCACGAAAGCGUGGGGAGCAAACAGGAUUAAAUACCCUGGUAGUCCACGCCCUAAACGAUGUCAACUGGUUGUUGGGAGGGUUUCUUCUCAGUAACGAAGCUAACGCGUGAAGUUGACCGCCUGGGGAGUACGGCCGCAAGGUUGAA
This 330-nucleotide ribosomal RNA is filed under the name uncultured bacterium. RNAcentral describes it as "bacterial SSU rRNA". It matches the Rfam family "Bacterial small subunit ribosomal RNA", at positions 568 to 898 of the family's 1533-position model. The record is from RNAcentral.